This 1050-nucleotide long non-coding RNA is filed under the name Lupinus angustifolius (narrow-leaved blue lupine). RNAcentral describes it as "long non-coding RNA (LANG_LNC001933)". The record is from RNAcentral. Lineage: Eukaryota; Viridiplantae; Streptophyta; Magnoliopsida; Fabales; Fabaceae.
GCAUCCCAAAAUAAAUUAGUUCCUUAUGCAUAGUAUGAGAUGAUAUCCAUAGUAAUACCCAAAAAAAUAAAUCAUCAUUAAUCCUUAAAUAAUAAACUUUUUUUAUGGAAAAUAUUAUCAUAAAUUUAUUGAUGGAACAAGUUGACCUAAUUUAGCACAUUUCUGACAAAUGCAUUGACCAUUUACACAGCAACUUGGGAAUCCUUCACACACUUUGUUGCAAUCUAUCAUCCUAGGGCAUUCUAAGUGAAACUUUGCUUCCACUGAAGUUGGCACUUCCACUGUACAUUUACAAAAUAUAUUUUUCAUUAGAUCAAAAAUAUUAGUUACAUUCUUUUUAACAUCGACAAAACGUUACUGUAAUGGUGUAAGACUGUAUUUGAUUCUUAAAUAGAUUAAACUAUCAAAUACUUGAUUUCAGAUAGCCAUACUUGUUGAGAGGGUUAACCAUGCACCCAAAAUGAAUUACUUCAUUGCUCAUAGAGUAAAUACCAAUUUUUGAGGGAUACCAUUGAUUUUAUACUGAAAAAACAUUCUUUUUUAACAUUCUAUAUUAAACAUAUAGUAAAUAUCAAUUUCGUUCUCUCAUGUUUUUUGACCUUAUUAGUUUGGUUUCUCGAAAACUAAAAAACCCAAAGUGGAUCAAAAAAUUUCAAAUGUUGGUCAAAUUAGUUGUUUUUAUCAUCUUUUAAAACACUUGAUAUGAAUUAAUGUGACUUAUAUUUAAAACUUUUUUAGACAAUUUCGGGUUUUUUAUUUUUUGAAGGAGCAAUCUAGUAAGGUAUGAAAAUACGGGGGACUGAAAUAAAUAUUUAUUGUAAAACAUGUUUUACUUUUUGAAUGAAAUUUAUGUGAUCGACUAAAUAGGGAGUGAAAAAAAGGAAGAAAAUAGAGAGAUACCAACCUGCUAUGGAAAUUAGAAAGAAGAGAAAAAAAGCUAACUUUGCUGAAUUCUUUGUCAUUGUGUUCUUGAAUCUUUACUUCUCACACUUUUAUUUAAUCUGAUUUUUAUUCUAUAUACAAUCAAAUGCACUGCUUAUAUACAAAAAG